RNAcentral lists this ribosomal RNA (2904 nucleotides) under Escherichia coli. RNAcentral describes it as "23S ribosomal RNA". It matches the Rfam family "Bacterial large subunit ribosomal RNA". Lineage: Bacteria; Pseudomonadati; Pseudomonadota; Gammaproteobacteria; Enterobacterales; Enterobacteriaceae. The record is from RNAcentral.
GGUUAAGCGACUAAGCGUACACGGUGGAUGCCCUGGCAGUCAGAGGCGAUGAAGGACGUGCUAAUCUGCGAUAAGCGUCGGUAAGGUGAUAUGAACCGUUAUAACCGGCGAUUUCCGAAUGGGGAAACCCAGUGUGAUUCGUCACACUAUCAUUAACUGAAUCCAUAGGUUAAUGAGGCGAACCGGGGGAACUGAAACAUCUAAGUACCCCGAGGAAAAGAAAUCAACCGAGAUUCCCCCAGUAGCGGCGAGCGAACGGGGAGGAGCCCAGAGCCUGAAUCAGUGUGUGUGUUAGUGGAAGCGUCUGGAAAGGCGCGCGAUACAGGGUGACAGCCCCGUACACAAAAAUGCACAUAUUGUGAGCUCGAUGAGUAGGGCGGGACACGUGGUAUCCUGUCUGAAUAUGGGGGGACCAUCCUCCAAGGCUAAAUACUCCUGACUGACCGAUAGUGAACCAGUACCGUGAGGGAAAGGCGAAAAGAACCCCGGCGAGGGGAGUGAAAAAGAACCUGAAACCGUGUACGUACAAGCAGUGGGAGCACGCUUAGGCGUGUGACUGCGUACCUUUUGUAUAAUGGGUCAGCGACUUAUAUUCUGUAGCAAGGUUAACCGAAUAGGGGAGCCGAAGGGAAACCGAGUCUUAACUGGGCGUUAAGUUGCAGGGUAUAGACCCGAAACCCGGUGAUCUAGCCAUGGGCAGGUUGAAGGUUGGGUAACACUAACUGGAGGACCGAACCGACUAAUGUUGAAAAAUUAGCGGAUGACUUGUGGCUGGGGGUGAAAGGCCAAUCAAACCGGGAGAUAGCUGGUUCUCCCCGAAAGCUAUUUAGGUAGCGCCUCGUGAACUCAUCUCCGGGGGUAGAGCACUGUUUCGGCAAGGGGGUCAUCCCGACUUACCAACCCGAUGCAAACUGCGAAUACCGGAGAAUGUUAUCACGGGAGACACACGGCGGGUGCUAACGUCCGUCGUGAAGAGGGAAACAACCCAGACCGCCAGCUAAGGUCCCAAAGUCAUGGUUAAGUGGGAAACGAUGUGGGAAGGCCCAGACAGCCAGGAUGUUGGCUUAGAAGCAGCCAUCAUUUAAAGAAAGCGUAAUAGCUCACUGGUCGAGUCGGCCUGCGCGGAAGAUGUAACGGGGCUAAACCAUGCACCGAAGCUGCGGCAGCGACGCUGAUGCGUUGUUGGGUAGGGGAGCGUUCUGUAAGCCUGCGAAGGUGUGCUGUGAGGCAUGCUGGAGGUAUCAGAAGUGCGAAUGCUGACAUAAGUAACGAUAAAGCGGGUGAAAAGCCCGCUCGCCGGAAGACCAAGGGUUCCUGUCCAACGUUAAUCGGGGCAGGGUGAGUCGACCCCUAAGGCGAGGCCGAAAGGCGUAGUCGAUGGGAAACAGGUUAAUAUUCCUGUACUUGGUGUUACUGCGAAGGGGGGACGGAGAAGGCUAUGUUGGCCGGGCGACGGUUGUCCCGGUUUAAGCGUGUAGGCUGGUUUUCCAGGCAAAUCCGGAAAAUCAAGGCUGAGGCGUGAUGACGAGGCACUACGGUGCUGAAGCAACAAAUGCCCUGCUUCCAGGAAAAGCCUCUAAGCAUCAGGUAACAUCAAAUCGUACCCCAAACCGACACAGGUGGUCAGGUAGAGAAUACCAAGGCGCUUGAGAGAACUCGGGUGAAGGAACUAGGCAAAAUGGUGCCGUAACUUCGGGAGAAGGCACGCUGAUAUGUAGGUGAGGUCCCUCGCGGAUGGAGCUGAAAUCAGUCGAAGAUACCAGCUGGCUGCAACUGUUUAUUAAAAACACAGCACUGUGCAAACACGAAAGUGGACGUAUACGGUGUGACGCCUGCCCGGUGCCGGAAGGUUAAUUGAUGGGGUCAGCGCAAGCGAAGCUCUUGAUCGAAGCCCCGGUAAACGGCGGCCGUAACUAUAACGGUCCUAAGGUAGCGAAAUUCCUUGUCGGGUAAGUUCCGACCUGCACGAAUGGCGUAAUGAUGGCCAGGCUGUCUCCACCCGAGACUCAGUGAAAUUGAACUCGCUGUGAAGAUGCAGUGUACCCGCGGCAAGACGGAAAGACCCCGUGAACCUUUACUAUAGCUUGACACUGAACAUUGAGCCUUGAUGUGUAGGAUAGGUGGGAGGCUUGGAAGUGUGGACGCCAGUCUGCAUGGAGCCGACCUUGAAAUACCACCCUUUAAUGUUUGAUGUUCUAACGUUGACCCGUAAUCCGGGUUGCGGACAGUGUCUGGUGGGUAGUUUGACUGGGGCGGUCUCCUCCUAAAGAGUAACGGAGGAGCACGAAGGUUGGCUAAUCCUGGUCGGACAUCAGGAGGUUAGUGCAAUGGCAUAAGCCAGCUUGACUGCGAGCGUGACGGCGCGAGCAGGUGCGAAAGCAGGUCAUAGUGAUCCGGUGGUUCUGAAUGGAAGGGCCAUCGCUCAACGGAUAAAAGGUACUCCGGGGAUAACAGGCUGAUACCGCCCAAGAGUUCAUAUCGACGGCGGUGUUUGGCACCUCGAUGUCGGCUCAUCACAUCCUGGGGCUGAAGUAGGUCCCAAGGGUAUGGCUGUUCGCCAUUUAAAGUGGUACGCGAGCUGGGUUUAGAACGUCGUGAGACAGUUCGGUCCCUAUCUGCCGUGGGCGCUGGAGAACUGAGGGGGGCUGCUCCUAGUACGAGAGGACCGGAGUGGACGCAUCACUGGUGUUCGGGUUGUCAUGCCAAUGGCACUGCCCGGUAGCUAAAUGCGGAAGAGAUAAGUGCUGAAAGCAUCUAAGCACGAAACUUGCCCCGAGAUGAGUUCUCCCUGACCCUUUAAGGGUCCUGAAGGAACGUUGAAGACGACGACGUUGAUAGGCCGGGUGUGUAAGCGCAGCGAUGCGUUGAGCUAACCGGUACUAAUGAACCGUGAGGCUUAACCUU